AAACAUGUUGUGCCAUUAGUUACACUCAGUGUGGUCACAUGUAUAGUGACUUUGCAUGUUGGCAAGUUGAAUGGUGCCAUAGGUACCACCAUUAAUAAACAUUUUUAGAAUUAAUUGCUAAGUGGGUCACCGACCAAUGGACCGUUGUUUUAUAUUUGUCAUGUUGAUGAUGUGAUAUCGAUGUUUUUUUUUUUGUUUCUCCUUGAUCACUCUCUGUUUUUCCUAAAGCAUCUUUUUCGUAAAUACCUAGCACGAGUGUGAUAGCUUAGUUCAACUACGAGGAAAAAAGUCAUUAUAAAUAUUUUCGCUUUGAAAGCAACUCACACAUGCCUUAGUAGAACUUAGAAGGUUUGUAUUAAUCUAUUAUUUUGUGUCCCUUAUUAUAAAAUUCACUUUUGAGUAUAAGAUGGGAUUGGAUUACAAUGUUAUUACUUUAUUGCAUAAGGUAACUUUGCCAAGGUGAAGUAGUGACUUUG
This 476-nucleotide long non-coding RNA is filed under the name Cicer arietinum (chickpea). RNAcentral describes it as "long non-coding RNA (CARI_LNC003421)". The record is from RNAcentral. Lineage: Eukaryota; Viridiplantae; Streptophyta; Magnoliopsida; Fabales; Fabaceae.